AGUGAACGCUGGCGGUAGGCCUAACACAUGCAAGUCGAGCGGCAGCACAGUGCGGGCUUCUGCUUACGGGGGGCGAGGGGCGGGUGGGUGAAAAGUAUAUGCAAGUUUGCUUUUUCGGGGGGCAUAACGUGGGAACGAAUACCUCAUACGUCCUUAGGGCGAAAGGGGGAAAGCAGCGGAUCUCAGGCCAUUUCGCGAUUGUAUGUGCAGAUGUCGGAUUAGCUAGUUGGCGGGGUAACGGCCCACCAAGGCGACGAUCCGUAGCUGGUCUGAGAGGAUGAUCAGCCACACUGGAACUGAGACACGGUCCAGACUACUACGGGAGGCAGCAGUGGGGAAUAUUGGACAAUGGGCGCAAGCCUGAUCCAGCCAUGCCGCGUGGGUGAAGAAGGUCUUCGGUUUGUAAAGCCCUUUUAGUGGGAAAGAAGAGCAGCAAGUUAAUACCCUGCUGUUCUGACGGUACCCAAAGAAUAAGCACCGGCUAACUUCGUG
Molecule: ribosomal RNA, 492 nt
Filed under: uncultured bacterium
Lineage: Bacteria
Description: partial 16S ribosomal RNA
Rfam family: Bacterial small subunit ribosomal RNA
Source: RNAcentral